UCUAGAUUCUCGUGCACAAGAACUCGCAAGAACUCCCGCCAUCUUUCAAAGUAGGGAAGAAAUGGCCACUGGUGGAUUGACAUGUCAUUUCUUUAACACACCAAGGGGAUGUUGGAAAGGUGACAACUGCCGAUAUAUACAUGAUGGAACAACCCUUCAACAGUCUGAGAUGCCAAGAUGUCGGUUCUAUGGCACACCUCAAGGAUGUAGGUAUGGUGACUCGUGUAUAUUUCGUCAUUCUGAGCCACAGAUCCCAGCUGCUAAACAAGAG
This is a long non-coding RNA of Ruditapes philippinarum (Manila clam), 271 nucleotides long. RefSeq lists it as uncharacterized. The record is from RefSeq and is a predicted model, not a curated record. Lineage: Eukaryota; Metazoa; Mollusca; Bivalvia; Venerida; Veneridae. The transcript has 3 exons.